RNAcentral lists this transfer RNA (72 nucleotides) under Pangasianodon hypophthalmus (striped catfish). It matches the Rfam family "tRNA". From Rfam's summary of the family: Transfer RNA (tRNA) molecules are approximately 80 nucleotides in length. Their secondary structure includes four short double-helical elements and three loops (D, anti-codon, and T loops). The record is from Rfam by way of RNAcentral. Lineage: Eukaryota; Metazoa; Chordata; Actinopteri; Siluriformes; Pangasiidae.
UCCCUGGAGGACUAGUGGUUAGGCCACAGCGCUCUCACCGCUGCGGCCCGGGUUUGAUUCCCAGCCAGAGAA